This 1532-nucleotide ribosomal RNA is filed under the name Salmonella enterica subsp. arizonae. Its description in RNAcentral is "bacterial SSU rRNA". It matches the Rfam family "Bacterial small subunit ribosomal RNA". The record is from RNAcentral. Lineage: Bacteria; Pseudomonadati; Pseudomonadota; Gammaproteobacteria; Enterobacterales; Enterobacteriaceae.
AGAGUUUGAUCAUGGCUCAGAUUGAACGCUGGCGGCAGGCCUAACACAUGCAAGUCGAACGGUAACAGGAAGCAGCUUGCUGCUUCGCUGACGAGUGGCGGACGGGUGAGUAAUGUCUGGGAAACUGCCUGAUGGAGGGGGAUAACUACUGGAAACGGUGGCUAAUACCGCAUAACGUCGCAGGACCAAAGAGGGGGACCUUCGGGCCUCUUGCCAUCAGAUGUGCCCAGAUGGGAUUAGCUUGUUGGUGAGGUAACGGCUCACCAAGGCGACGAUCCCUAGCUGGUCUGAGAGGAUGACCAGCCACACUGGAACUGAGACACGGUCCAGACUCCUACGGGAGGCAGCAGUGGGGGAAUAUUGCACAAUGGGCGCAAGCCUGAUGCAGCCAUGCCGCGUGUAUGAAGAAGGCCUUCGGGUUGUAAAGUACUUUCAGCGGGGAGGAAGGUGUUGUGGUUAAUAACCACAGCAAUUGACGUUACCCGCAGAAGAAGCACCGGCUAACUCCGUGCCAGCAGCCGCGGUAAUACGGAGGGUGCAAGCGUUAAUCGGAAUUACUGGGCGUAAAGCGCACGCAGGCGGUCUGUCAAGUCGGAUGUGAAAUCCCCGGGCUCAACCUGGGAACUGCAUUCGAAACUGGCAGGCUUGAGUCUUGUAGAGGGGGGUAGAAUUCCAGGUGUAGCGGUGAAAUGCGUAGAGAUCUGGAGGAAUACCGGUGGCGAAGGCGGCCCCCUGGACAAAGACUGACGCUCAGGUGCGAAAGCGUGGGGAGCAAACAGGAUUAGAUACCCUGGUAGUCCACGCCGUAAACGAUGUCUACUUGGAGGUUGUGCCCUUGAGGCGUGGCUUCCGGAGCUAACGCGUUAAGUAGACCGCCUGGGGAGUACGGCCGCAAGGUUAAAACUCAAAUGAAUUGACGGGGGCCCGCACAAAGCGGUGGAGCAUGUGGUUUAAUUCGAUGCAACGCGAAGAACCUUACCUGGUCUUGACAUCCACAGAACCCUGUAGAGAUACGGGGGUGCCUUCGGGAGCUGUGAGACAGGUGCUGCAUGGCUGUCGUCAGCUCGUGUUGUGAAAUGUUGGGUUAAGUCCCGCAACGAGCGCAACCCUUAUCCUUUGUUGCCAGCGGUCCGGCCGGGAACUCAAAGGAGACUGCCAGUGAUAAACUGGAGGAAGGUGGGGAUGACGUCAAGUCAUCAUGGCCCUUACGACCAGGGCUACACACGUGCUACAAUGGCGCAUACAAAGAGAAGCGACCUCGCGAGAGCAAGCGGACCUCAUAAAGUGCGUCGUAGUCCGGACUGGAGUCUGCAACUCGACUCCAUGAAGUCGGAAUCGCUAGUAAUCGUGGAUCAGAAUGCCACGGUGAAUACGUUCCCGGGCCUUGUACACACCGCCCGUCACACCAUGGGAGUGGGUUGCAAAAGAAGUAGGUAGCUUAACCUUCGGGAGGGCGCUUACCACUUUGUGAUUCAUGACUGGGGUGAAGUCGUAACAAGGUAACCGUAGGGGAACCUGCGGUUGGAUCACCU